Molecule: long non-coding RNA, 383 nt
Filed under: Helianthus annuus (common sunflower)
Lineage: Eukaryota; Viridiplantae; Streptophyta; Magnoliopsida; Asterales; Asteraceae
Description: hypothetical non coding rna
Source: RNAcentral
UUGUUCUUCAAAACACAUCCAAACGAAGUACCCACUUUAGGGUUACCGAUUGGUUGUUUAAUUAGCUGAAUUCAAUCAUAUGUAGAUGACAGAUUGAAACCCUGAUACAGAACAAAAGAAUCUAGGAGUUGAAGAAAACUGAAAAGGGGAAUUUGAUAAUUACUAUGGGAAUCAAAUCAGGAGGUUCGAGCAGCUGGUGGGAUAGGAUAGGUGUUUGUUUUCUCUUCCAGUCGUUGUCGUCUCCAUAAUUUCAAAAUUUAUAUCAUCUGUUCUGUAGUGGUAGUUGGAAAAGAUUAAUUUUUCUCUCUAGAAUUACUACAUCAUAUCGUGAUUUUCUUCAUCAAUGAAUGGUUUAAACACUUAAUCAACAUGUUCUUCAAUUU